UACGUAGGGACCAAGCGUUGUUCGGAUUUACUGGGCGUAAAGGGUGCGUAGGUGGCGAGGUUAGUCAGGUGUGAAAUCUCGGGGCUCAACCCCGAAACUGCACUUGAUACUGCCUUGCUAGAGUACUGGAGAGGAGAUUGGAAUUUACGGUGUAGCAGUGAAAUGCGUAGAUAUCGUAAGGAAGACCAGUGGCGAAGGCGAAUCUCUGGACAGUUACUGACACUGAGGAACGAAGGCCAGGGGAGCAAACGGG
Molecule: ribosomal RNA, 253 nt
Filed under: uncultured bacterium
Lineage: Bacteria
Description: partial 16S ribosomal RNA
Rfam family: Bacterial small subunit ribosomal RNA
Source: RNAcentral